This 421-nucleotide ribosomal RNA is filed under the name Fusobacteriota bacterium. RNAcentral describes it as "Fusobacteria bacterium partial 16S ribosomal RNA". It matches the Rfam family "Bacterial small subunit ribosomal RNA", at positions 355 to 776 of the family's 1533-position model. The record is from RNAcentral. Lineage: Bacteria; Fusobacteriati; Fusobacteriota.
UGGGGAAUAUUGCACAAUGGACGGAAGUUUGAUGCAGCGACGCCGCGUGGAGGGUGUAGGCCUUCGGGUUGUGAACUCCUUUUUCUCGCGAAAAAGGCACAGUUUUGGCUGUGUUGAUGGUAGUGGGGGAAGAAGCGCCGGCUAACUACGUGCCAGCAGCCGCGGUAAUACGUAUGGAGCGAGCGUUGUCCGGAAUUAUUGGGCGUAAAGGGUGCGCAGGCGGCUUUACAAGUUGGAUGUGAAAUAUUGUGGCUCAACCACAAACGUGCAUCCAAAACUGCAAAGCUUGAGUUAAGGAGAGGUAAGUGGAAUUCCUGGUGUAGCGGUGGAAUGCGUAGAUAUCAGGAGGAAUACCGGUGGCGAAGGCGACUUACUGGACUUAAACUGACGCUCAGGCACGAAAGCGUGGGGAGCAAACAGG